GCUGAUACUCCUUAUACGAUUUAGAACUUAUUUGUUCGUAGUGUCCACACAGAUGAUUGUUAGUUAGUUUUACCCUUUGGGUUUAACUGAUUAAUAUGCUCUUUAAAAAUUUGGAAAAGCUGAUAAUAAAAUUCUGAUAGAUACUUUGUAUUUAUCAAGAGUUUUCAAAAGUAAAAAAGAAUGAUAGCAGUAUCAUUCAAUGCCAAUUUAAUCAUUCAUGAUUAAUUGGUAUCUACUUUAGUAUUCAAUAUUAACUUCUGGCGAAGUUAAACUGUCACAUAACAAAAACCCGUUUGGGUUGUAUGGUUAAGUGACUAACCGUACACGGGGGAGGCCUGGGA
Molecule: unclassified non-coding RNA, 341 nt
Filed under: Pseudoalteromonas sp. E9
Lineage: Bacteria; Pseudomonadati; Pseudomonadota; Gammaproteobacteria; Alteromonadales; Pseudoalteromonadaceae
Description: partial may contain 16S ribosomal RNA, 16S-23S ribosomal RNA intergenic spacer, and 23S ribosomal RNA
Source: RNAcentral